This 302-nucleotide small RNA is filed under the name Vigna angularis var. angularis. RNAcentral's name for it is "Non-protein coding transcript". The record is from RNAcentral. Lineage: Eukaryota; Viridiplantae; Streptophyta; Magnoliopsida; Fabales; Fabaceae.
UUAUGAGAAAAAAAGAAAUUAGGAAGUUUUUUUAGAGUAGAGGUUCUGAAGAGUUUUCGGGGAAACAAAUUCGGAGCAAGAGAAGUCUGGAAUAGAGAUGAAGGAAUGUCGUCUGAUCCAAUACCAAUGAAGAAAGAGAUCGAAGAAUAAGUUAGAAGAAUUUCGAAUCGUAUUUAUGAGUUUAUAGUUGAAACCUGAGUUUAAAACAUGUAUAGACAUAUAUCAACUAGGAAUUUUUAAGUGUGAGAUUACGAGAUGUUACCGUAAAUGUAAUGUUACAAUAUAUAAAUUAUGAAUUAUCC